Molecule: small nuclear RNA, 100 nt
Organism: Gorilla gorilla gorilla (western lowland gorilla)
Lineage: Eukaryota; Metazoa; Chordata; Mammalia; Primates; Hominidae
Source: Ensembl
UUGCUUUGGCAGCAAAUAUAUAAAAAUUGGAAGAAUGCAGAGAUUAGCAUGGCCCCUCGAGAAGGAUGACACAAAAAUUCAUGAGCAUUGCAUUAAUUAA